UAUGUAUGUAUCUACGUUUUGUCUGCCAGAGGGGUGAGUAGCUCCACGAGGCCUGAUGGCCCCACAGGGGCUUGCUGACCUGACCUGACCCUCUUGUGCCGCUGCUGCUGCUGCUGCUGCUGCUGCUGCUGAUGAUGAUGAUGAUGAUGAUGAUGAUGAUGAUGAUGGUGAUGAUAUGAUGGUGAUGUGGUUGUUCCUCAGUGCUGCAGCCCAGCCGCUGUAUCCUGCUGCCCUGCGACCGCAACGGCCAAGGAAGGAAGGAGCGCGGGUGGGGAACAGGCCCACACACGAUUGGUUGGAAUAAUCAUAAUUAGGAGAAGCGGCCAUCUGCCCCUAGGCUUGGGCGCUAUCGAUAUGUUGUAUUGUUUGCUGGUCUGUGGCCGUAUGUGACCAAUUCAUGUUUCUGUGGUGUCGCAUCGUAUUAGUGAGUGUUUCGUAUCGCUCGUACCAUGUCGUAUCAUCGCACAUUGUGUCGUAUAAUACCUUAUUGUAUGUAGCGGAAACCCUAAUACGACAAUAUUGGUGGGUGAAGCGGAGGUGUUGACCUCCAGCGAGCAGGCAGUAUGCCCGACAUCAGAGGCCGGUGAGAGGCCCCCCCGGGGGGUUUCCUUGUUCGGGCUUGGGCGGGUGCGGUGGUUACGUUGACUAGAUAGGUAGGUAGGUGGGUAGGGGGGGAGGGGGGGGUGACCAAGCUUUCGUUCUUUAUUUUCGUUGGACAUGCAAGUGCACUUCCAGAGGUCGUCCAGGCGUCGUACGGCAUUCCGGUUGCCUCCCGGGUGCUUGGCGACUGCGGGUGGUGCGACCAGGAUCUGAUCAUGGCCAUGGUCUUGAGCAUUGACAGCAGCUGCCGCCACGUACGGCACUCGCUUCCAGAGUGUGCUUUUAUUCGUGCGGGACAUCCGUGCAUUGCAUGCAUGAAUGGUAUGAUAUGAUAUGCGAGGGGCUGGAGAGAAUUCGCAGCCGUUUUCGCCAAAAAGAAUCAACGCGAAGCGAGUUGUUUGGGCGUUGUGCAAGUAUGACUGAAUUCCGUUCCUAUAUGGCUGGUGUGCGGCGACCUGCUGCUGCUGGCUCGCUCCGCCGGUGGGUCCUUUGUGUACGACACAUAAUACAGCAUACUACUUACUGUUCAUACUGUUGUGCAUGUUAACGGCGCCAUGGCAGCCGAUCCAAUCGACCCGACCGGGGGGGGGGG
RNAcentral lists this long non-coding RNA (1192 nucleotides) under Volvox carteri. RNAcentral's name for it is "long non-coding RNA (VCAR_LNC003102)". Lineage: Eukaryota; Viridiplantae; Chlorophyta; Chlorophyceae; Chlamydomonadales; Volvocaceae. The record is from RNAcentral.